This 308-nucleotide ribosomal RNA is filed under the name Proteus mirabilis. Its description in RNAcentral is "bacterial SSU rRNA". It matches the Rfam family "Bacterial small subunit ribosomal RNA", at positions 931 to 1235 of the family's 1533-position model. The record is from RNAcentral. Lineage: Bacteria; Pseudomonadati; Pseudomonadota; Gammaproteobacteria; Enterobacterales; Morganellaceae.
CUGGUGGAGCAUGUGGUUUAAUUCGAUGCAACGCGAAGAACCUUACCUACUCUUGACAUCCAGCGAAUCCUUUAGAGAUAGAGGAGUGCCUUCGGGAACGCUGAGACAGGUGCUGCAUGGCUGUCGUCAGCUCGUGUUGUGAAAUGUUGGGUUAAGUCCCGCAACGAGCGCAACCCUUAUCCUUUGUUGCCAGCACGUAAUGGUGGGAACUCAAAGGAGACUGCCGGUGAUAAACCGGAGGAAGGUGGGGAUGACGUCAAGUCAUCAUGGCCCUUACGAGUAGGGCUACACACGUGGCUACAAUGGAA